AGGAUGAACGCUGGCGGCGUGCUUAACACAUGCAAGUCGAACGAUGAACCCCGCUUGCGGGGGGAUUAGUGGCGAACGGGUGAGUAACACGUGAGUAACCUGCCCUUAACUCUGGGAUAAGCCUUGGAAACGGGGUCUAAUACUGGAUAUUGACUUUAUGCCGCAUGGUGUUUGGUUGAAAGAUUUAUUGGUUUUGGAUGGACUCGCGGCCUAUCAGCUUGUUGGUGAGGUAAUGGCUCACCAAGGCGACGACGGGUAGCCGGCCUGAGAGGGUGACCGGCCACACUGGGACUGAGACACGGCCCAGACUCCUACGGGAGGCAGCAGUGGGGAAUAUUGCACAAUGGGCGAAAGCCUGAUGCAGCGACGCCGCGUGAGGGAUGACGGCCUUCGGGUUGUAAACCUCUUUCAGUAGGGAACAAGGCCAGACGUUGUCUGGUUGAGGGUACUUGCAGAAGAAGCGCCGGCUAACUACGUGCCAGC
RNAcentral lists this ribosomal RNA (483 nucleotides) under Arthrobacter sp. o21. RNAcentral describes it as "bacterial SSU rRNA". It matches the Rfam family "Bacterial small subunit ribosomal RNA", at positions 26 to 512 of the family's 1533-position model. Lineage: Bacteria; Bacillati; Actinomycetota; Actinomycetes; Micrococcales; Micrococcaceae. The record is from RNAcentral.